GCCUUACGAAACGAAACCCGAUCAA
Molecule: non-coding RNA, 25 nt
Filed under: Drosophila melanogaster (fruit fly)
Lineage: Eukaryota; Metazoa; Arthropoda; Insecta; Diptera; Drosophilidae
Source: RNAcentral